This is a long non-coding RNA of Trifolium pratense (red clover), 459 nucleotides long. RefSeq lists it as uncharacterized. The record is from RefSeq and is a predicted model, not a curated record. NCBI's taxonomy places the organism in Eukaryota, Viridiplantae, Streptophyta, Magnoliopsida, Fabales, Fabaceae. The transcript has 2 exons.
AACAACUACGUAAGCUUGAUAAAAUCUAUUUAAAUGGUGCAAUGAUAAGAUGAGUUUUAUAAAUUACAAAGUUUUUUUUUUCAUAAGUUAUAAAUUACAAAGUGAUAAGAAUAUUUUUUACAUACAAAGAACAAUAAUGAAUGGAAUUGUCAAGUUUGUUUAUGUCAUUAUCAUCUUUAUUUCUUUAUUUUUUGUUGCGAGGAGUGCUGAGAUCUACGUCCCCGACGAGAUUAUUAAUUGUAAGAGUUUCUUGGAUUGUCCAUAUGAUAUGUGCCGACGUUAUUUUGAACCAAAGUGUAAGAAGAGCAUUUGUAAAUGUUUUCGAUGGAUGGAUGACCCUUUGUAAAAGUUCUAGACCAAGAAAGUACUAAUGUCAAUCUACAAUAUUCAAUUAGUUGCAAUUUUGUUGGAACUCAAUAAAUUUGGUGGGAUCAUGUUCCUACUAGUGUGUUAGAAGCA